CGGGGGAGCAAGCGUUGUUCGGAUUUACUGGGCGUAAAGGGCGCGUAGGCGGCCACCGCAAGUCAGUUGUGAAAUCUCUGGGCUUAACCCAGAAAGGUCAACUGAUACUGCGGGGCUAGAGUGCAGAAGGGGCAACUGGAAUUCUCGGUGUAGCGGUGAAAUGCGUAGAUAUCGAGAGGAACACCUGCGGCGAAGGCGGGUUGCUGGGCUGACACUGACGCUGAGGCGCGAAAGCUAGGGGAGCGAACGGGAUUAGAUACCCCGGUAGUCCUAGCCUUAAACGAUGAAUGCUUGGUGUCUGGGGUUUUUAUAGUCCCCGGGUGCCGUCGCUAACGCUUUAAGCAUUCCGCCUGGGGAGUACGGUCGCAAGACUG
Molecule: ribosomal RNA, 374 nt
Filed under: uncultured organism
Description: bacterial SSU rRNA
Rfam family: Bacterial small subunit ribosomal RNA
Source: RNAcentral